This 70-nucleotide ribosomal RNA is filed under the name Cladocopium sp. clade C. RNAcentral describes it as "partial 5.8S ribosomal RNA". Lineage: Eukaryota; Dinophyceae; Suessiales; Symbiodiniaceae. The record is from RNAcentral.
AACCAAUGGCCUCCUGAACGUGGGUUGCACUCUUGGGAUUUCCUGAGAGCAUGUCUGCUUCAGCGCUUAA